This is a long non-coding RNA of Erinaceus europaeus (western European hedgehog), 1051 nucleotides long. RefSeq lists it as uncharacterized. The transcript has 3 exons. Lineage: Eukaryota; Metazoa; Chordata; Mammalia; Eulipotyphla; Erinaceidae. The record is from RefSeq and is a predicted model, not a curated record.
AUUAACAAAAACCUUUAUCUGUGGAGGAAAUGGGGGGAGAAAGAGCCAGCCACCGUACAUGAGUGACAGGCAGACAGGGAGGAGUGUGGGGCCUCAACACCUGAGUGACACAGGAGGUGAGGAGGAGUGUGGGGCCUCAGUACCUGAGUGACAGGAGGAGGUGAGCAGGAGUGUGGGGCCUCAGCUCCUGAGUGACAGGAGGAGGUCAGGAGGAGUGUGGGGCCUCAGCACCUGAGUGACAGGAGGAGGUGAGGAGGAGUGUGGGGCCUCAGCACCUGAUGACAGGAGGAGGUCAGGAGGAGUGUGGGGCCUCAGCACCUGAGUGACAGGAGGAGGUCAGGAGGAGUGUGGGGCCUCAGCUCCUGAGUGACAGGAGGAGGUCAGGAGGAGUGUGGGGCCUCAGCACCUGAGUGACAGGAGGAGGUGGGAGGAGUGUGGGGCCUCAGCACCUGAGUGACAGGAGGAGGUCAGGAGGAGUGUGGGGCCUCAGCACCUGAGUGACAGGAGGAGGUCAGGAGGAGUGUGGGGCCUCAGCUCCUGAGUGACAGGAGGAGGUCAGGAGGAGUGUGGGGCCUCAGCACCUGAGUGACAGGAGGAGGUCAGGAGGAGUGUGGGGCCUCAGCACCUGAGUGACAGGAGGAGGUGGGAGGAGUGUGGGGCCUCAGCACCUGAGUGACAGGAGGAGGUCAGGAGGAGUGUGGGGCCUCAGCACCUGAGUGACAGGAGGAGGUCAGGAGGAGUGUGGGGCCUCAGCUCCUGAGUGACAGGAGGAGGUCAGGAGGAGUGUGGGGCCUCAGCAUCUGAGUGACAGGAGGAGGUCAGGAGGAGUGUGGGGCCUCAGCUCCUGAGUGACAGGAGGAGGUGGGAGGAGUGUGGGGCCUCAGCACCUGAGUGACAGGAGGAGGUCAGGAGGAGUGUGGGGCCUCAGCACCUGAGUGACAGGAGGAGGUGAGGAGUGUGGGGCCUCAGCUCCUGAGUGACAGGAGGAGGUCAGGAGGAGUGUGGGGCCUCAGCACCUGAGUGACAGGAGGAGGUCAGGAGGAGUGUGGGG